This 342-nucleotide ribosomal RNA is filed under the name Darwiniella sp. 2 MM-2014. RNAcentral describes it as "partial 12S ribosomal RNA". The record is from RNAcentral. Lineage: Eukaryota; Metazoa; Arthropoda; Thecostraca; Balanomorpha; Pyrgomatidae.
GUGUACACAAGAUAGAGCUCUCAUCAAGUUUUUAUAAACUUUACAAUUAAAUCCACCUUCAAAAGUUAUUUCAAAAACUUUAUUCGUAUUAAUCUAAAAAUUGUAACCCACCUCUAUCUUUUAUAUAAGCUGCACCUUUACUUGAAGUAAAUGAUUUUCUCAUAAAAGAAAGUUUUCUGAAGAAACUGACUGACAACAGCGGUAUACAAACUGAUUACAAAUAAAAGUAGAGUUUUUCGUGGUUCAUCGUUUAUAGGGCAGGUUCCUCUAAAUGGCUAUCUUGCCGCCAAAUCCGUUAAAUUUCAUUAUUUAUACUAUUCCAAAAUUUUAUAUUUAUAAGUA